GGGGAUGUUCUGGCUUCGACGCUGGUGAUGAAACUCAAUGAUGCAUGCCGAGAGCGCAUUAUCUCUCGUAAAUCAAUCUUGCAUUUUCAUAGUCGCAAACGACGAAACCUACGCUCUAGCAGCCUAAGGGCUGCUUGUCCGACGCACCAAAUAUCUGUGGU
Molecule: transfer-messenger RNA, 161 nt
Filed under: Moraxellaceae bacterium
Lineage: Bacteria; Pseudomonadati; Pseudomonadota; Gammaproteobacteria; Moraxellales; Moraxellaceae
Description: partial transfer-messenger RNA
Rfam family: transfer-messenger RNA
About the family: Bacterial tmRNA, also known as 10Sa RNA or SsrA, is named for its dual tRNA and mRNA-like properties.
Source: RNAcentral